CAAUAGCGUAUAUUUAAGUUGUUGCAGUUAAAAAGCUCGUAGUUGGAUUUCGGUUAAGAGCGACCGGUCCGCCGUUUGGUGUGCACUGGUUGGUUUUAACUUCCUGUAGAGGACGUGCUCUGGGUUUAACGACCUGGACUCGGAGUCUACGUGGUUACUUUGAAAAAAUUAGAGUGUUCAAAGCGGGCUUACGCUUGAAUAUUUCAGCAUGGAAUAACACUAUAGGACUCCUGUCCUAUUUCGUUGGUCUCGGGACGGGAGUAAUGAUUAAGAGGAACAGUUGGGGACAUUCGUAUUUCAUUGUCAGAGGUGAAAUUCUUGGAUUUAUGAAAGACGAACUUCUGCGAAAGCAUUUGCCAAGGAUGUUUUCAUUAA
RNAcentral lists this ribosomal RNA (375 nucleotides) under uncultured eukaryote. RNAcentral's name for it is "partial 18S ribosomal RNA". It matches the Rfam family "Eukaryotic small subunit ribosomal RNA", at positions 592 to 976 of the family's 1831-position model. The record is from RNAcentral.